RNAcentral lists this ribosomal RNA (385 nucleotides) under Dictyocoela roeselum. RNAcentral's name for it is "SSU rRNA". It matches the Rfam family "Microsporidia small subunit ribosomal RNA", at positions 57 to 402 of the family's 1311-position model. The record is from RNAcentral. Lineage: Eukaryota; Fungi; Microsporidia.
UAAGCGAAGCGAUAUGUGGAGCGGUGAAAGGCUCAGUAACGGGCGAUUUAUUUGAUCUCCUGGGACGGACAACAUCGGGAAACUGAUGGGAAAACGUCUAAGUUGCAGUUUUUUGAUUGUGACGUAAACCUUUGUGUGCAGGAGAGUAAGAUGCCAUCCUAUCAGUUAGUAAGUAGGGUAAGGGCCUACUUAGACGAAGACGGGUACGGGGAAUGAGGGUUUGAUUCCGGAGAGGGAGCCUGAGAGAUGGCUACCAGGACCAAGGUCAGCAGCAGGCGCGAAAAUUAUCGAAGCCCGCCUAGGGGCGAUAGUGAGGAGACGUGUAUACGAAGUACGUGUAAAGACCGUACUAAUAACUGGAGGUCAAGUCUGGUGCCAGCAGCCG